UACGAGAGGCCCAAACGUUUAUUCGGAUUUACUGGGCUUAAAGAGUUCGUAGGCGGCGCGGAAAGUAGGGUGUGAAAGCCCUCGGCUUAACCGAGGAAUUGCGCUCUAAACUACCGUGCUUGAGGAACCUAGAGGUGAGCAGAACUGAUGGUGGAGCGGUGAAAUGCGUUGAUAUCAUCAGGAAUACCGGAGGCGAAGGCGGCUCACUGGGGGUUAUCUGACGCUGAGGAACGAAAGCCAGGGGAGCAAACGGG
This 254-nucleotide ribosomal RNA is filed under the name uncultured bacterium. RNAcentral describes it as "partial 16S ribosomal RNA". It matches the Rfam family "Bacterial small subunit ribosomal RNA", at positions 524 to 776 of the family's 1533-position model. The record is from RNAcentral.